Molecule: ribosomal RNA, 824 nt
Filed under: uncultured soil archaeon
Lineage: Archaea
Description: bacterial SSU rRNA
Rfam family: Archaeal small subunit ribosomal RNA
Source: RNAcentral
ACCUGACUGCUAUCGGAUUGGUACUAAGCCAUGCGAGUCAUUGUAGCAAUACAAGGCGGACGGCUCAGUAACACGUAGUCAACCUAACUCGUGGACGUGGAUAACCUCGGGAAACUGAGAAUAAACCACGAUAGAUCAUAGUGCCUGGAAUGGCUUAUGGUCCAAACAGUUUACUGCCAUGGGAUGGGACUGCGGCCUAUCAGCUUGUUGGUGAGGUAAUGGCCCACCAAGGCGAUUACAGGUACGGGCUCUGAGAGGAGAAGCCCGGAGAUGGGUACUGAGACACGGACCCAGGCCCUAUGGGGCGCAGCAGGCGAGAAACCUUAGCAAUGUGCGAAAGCACGACUGGGUCAGUCCGAGUGAUUCCUGAUAAAGGAGUCUUUUGCCUGUCCUAAAAGCACAGGUGAAUAAGGGGUGGGCAAGUCUGGUGUCAGCCGCCGCGGUAAUACCAGCACCUCGAGUGGUCAGGACGUUUAUUGGGCCUAAAGCAUCCGUAGCCGGCUCUGCAAGUCUUCGGUUAAAUCCACCUGCUCAACAGAUGGGCCGCUGGAGAUACUACAGAGCUAGGGAGUGGGAGAGGCAGACGGUAUUCAGUGGGUAGGGGUAAAAUCCUCUGAUCCAUUGAGGACCACCAGUGGCGAAGGCGGUCUGCCAGAACACGUUCGACGGUGAGGGAUGAAAGCUGGGGGAGCAAACCGGAUUAGAUACCCGGGUAGUCCCAGCUGUAAACGAUGCAGACUCGGUGAUGCAUUGGCUUAUGGCCAAUGCAGUGCCGCAGGAAGCCGUUAAGUUUGCCGCCUGGGAAGUACGGACGCAAGUCUGAA